Molecule: ribosomal RNA, 269 nt
Filed under: uncultured bacterium
Lineage: Bacteria
Description: partial 16S ribosomal RNA
Rfam family: Bacterial small subunit ribosomal RNA
Source: RNAcentral
GUCCACGCCCUAAACGAUGAUGACUAGUUGUUGGAGGAGUUAAAUCCUUUAGUAACGCAGCUAACGCGAGAAGUCAUCCGCCUGGGGGAGUACGGUCGCAAAGAUUAAAAACUCAAAAGGAAUUGACGGGGGCCCGCACAAGCGGUGGAUGAUGUGGUUUAAUUCGACGCAACGCGAAAACCUUACCUACCCUUGACAUGUACGGAACCUCAUAGAGAUGUGAGGGUGCCCGAAAGGGAGCCGUAACACAGGUGCUGCAUGGCUGUCGU